Non-coding RNA from Gossypium hirsutum (cotton), 87 nucleotides. The record is from Rfam. NCBI's taxonomy places the organism in Eukaryota, Viridiplantae, Streptophyta, Magnoliopsida, Malvales, Malvaceae.
CUCAAGGAAGCGCUUUGUCCACAUGGACAGAAAACGCGUCUUUGAGUGCACGCUUUGUGUCCACGUGGACAAAGCGCUUCCUUAAGG